Molecule: ribosomal RNA, 252 nt
Filed under: uncultured bacterium
Lineage: Bacteria
Description: partial 16S ribosomal RNA
Rfam family: Bacterial small subunit ribosomal RNA
Source: RNAcentral
ACAGGGGGGGCGAACGUUACUCGGAAUCACUGGGCAUAAAGGGCACGUAGGCGGUCCUGUAAGUCGGAUGUGAAAGACCCUGGCUCAACCAGGGAAGUGCAUCCGAAACUGCAGGGCUUGAGGCCGAGAGGGGUGAGUGGAACUCCUGGUGGAGCGGUGAAAUGCGUAGAUAUCAGGAGGAACACCGGUGGCGAAGGCGACUCACUGGCUCGGUUCUGACGCUGAGGUGCGAAAGCUAGGGUAGCGAACGGG